CGGGUACUGGCUAAGUGUGAUUAAAAGUAAUCAUCUGUCUGAUGAAUAUUUUCCUCUGACUUUUGGCAGGAUAACCCAUCUGAAAUUGUGCCAGAGUUUACAGGAACACUGAUGCCAGCAAUUUAGGGAUCUUCACAUUCAGUCUCAGUGCUAUUUGUUGCAUCUUGCUUCCGAUGAAAGUGCAAGCUCUGAAUAAGUCUCAAAUCUUCUUGCUCACUGACCUAGCACAGUGAAGCCAAAACAACAUCCCCAUCACUGCAAACAAUAAUCAGCUCUCCCAAAGAAGGCAUAGGUAAGUAAUGCCCUUCUCAGUGUGAACAGUCA
Molecule: long non-coding RNA, 324 nt
Filed under: Cyanistes caeruleus (blue tit)
Lineage: Eukaryota; Metazoa; Chordata; Aves; Passeriformes; Paridae
Description: lncRNA (ENSCCEG00000012820.1)
Source: RNAcentral